This 440-nucleotide ribosomal RNA is filed under the name uncultured bacterium. RNAcentral describes it as "partial 16S ribosomal RNA". It matches the Rfam family "Bacterial small subunit ribosomal RNA", at positions 338 to 795 of the family's 1533-position model. The record is from RNAcentral.
CCUACGGGAGGCAGCAGUGGGGAAUAUUGCACAAUGGGGGGAACCCUGAUGCAGCAACGCCGCGUGGGUGAAGAAGUACUUCGGUAUGUAACGCCCUGUCAGCAGGGAAGAAAAUGACGGUACCUGACCAAGAAGCCCCGGAUAACUACGUGCCAGCAGCCGCGGUAAUACGUAGGGCGCAAGCGUUCUCCGGAUUUACUGGGUGUAAAGGGAGCGUAGACGGCAAGGCAAGUCUGGAGUGAAAGCCCGUGGCUCAACCACGGGACUGCUUUGGAAACUGUGUUGCUGGAGUGCAGGAGGGGUAAGCGGAAUUCCUAGUGUAGCGGUGAAAUGCGUAGAGAUUAGGAGGAACACCGGGGGCGAAGGCGGCUUACUGGACUGUAACUGACGUUGAGGCUCGAAGGCGUGGGGAGCAAACAGGAUUAGAUACCCUUGUAGUC